This 1188-nucleotide long non-coding RNA is filed under the name Piliocolobus tephrosceles (Ugandan red Colobus). RNAcentral describes it as "lncRNA (ENSPTEG00000001278.1)". Lineage: Eukaryota; Metazoa; Chordata; Mammalia; Primates; Cercopithecidae. The record is from RNAcentral.
GUUAAAAAAAAAAAAAAAAAAAAAAAAAAAAAAAAACUUAGAGCAUUUCGUUGUGCAUACAAUCAAUGCAUGUUAUAUAUGUAUGUCAUUUAUGUUUGUAUGUGUACCAUAUAUGCAUAAUUUAUGCAGUAGUUUAUGCAGUAAUUUUUUGUUUCUGUUUCUUUUUCUUUUUUUUUAACUAAACGAAUAUACUUAAUAACAAACAAAACAUUCUCAAUUAAAAGUGACGAGCAAUAUACUAACUGCCAUGCAUACAUAUGCGCGUAUUUGUAACAUCCCUACCUAUGCCUGCCCGCUAUAUAUAAGCCAAUAGCCAAUAGCCAAGCCAAUAGCCAACAACAGCAAACAGCAAAUAGCAAACAGCAAAUAGCAAACAGCAAACAACAAACUAACUGAUAUGCAACCCCCUUGUAAAUGUAUUUUUUUAUUUUUCUUAAUUGGAAUAUACCUUGGCGACAUAUACACGGCACACAAAACCUGCACCGCAAAUAAGAACUUUUUUUCACAAACAAAAAAACACACAUUUCUUUUUUUACAUUAUAAGCAUGGUCCCAGUUAUUUUCUCCAAGAGCAACAGGUAACUACCUCACCACAUGAUCGUGUUUUAAAAAGGUAUGCGAUAAAUAAACGCACAACAAAUAACAACACGAGCAAAUAUAGGUUGUGUUCUUCUUUAAACGACUAUAUAUAUAAAUUGUUAAUAAAAAAAUUUAAAAAAGUAAAAAAAGAAAAAGAAACAUACAUUUAUAAACAAGAUCUAUCAGCUAAAUAUCCAUAUACAUUUGAUCUGUUAUUUUCGUCUAACUAUCCUAUUACAACUAUCAAAUCGAAAUUAAUAGAAUAUCAAACUGAACUAAAAUUAAUAAACGCAGAACACUUUAAAAUUGUUUAUCUUGGAAAAAAAAAAUUAGUUAGACCAAUUAAAAAGCAAACAGAAGCUUACUACAUAACAUUAUCACUUUAUAUUUACCCUUCUGUUAUAAAACAAGUCUCAGAGAAAUUGCGUCAGCAGGACCACAUAUUAAGAUUUAUAAUAAUAAAAAAUAAAAAUAAAACAGACUAUAUUCCGUUUAGUAAAGAAGACAUUGUUGAAAAGAGCCUGGAGAAAGUCGAGGAGUCUUUUUUUAAGCGAUAGGUUUUAUGUAUACAUAUCCGUGUAUAUAUAUACAUAUAUAUAUGUACAUAUUC